RNAcentral lists this ribosomal RNA (1225 nucleotides) under Halimeda opuntia. RNAcentral describes it as "SSU rRNA". It matches the Rfam family "Eukaryotic small subunit ribosomal RNA", at positions 576 to 1831 of the family's 1831-position model. Lineage: Eukaryota; Viridiplantae; Chlorophyta; Ulvophyceae; Bryopsidales; Halimedaceae. The record is from RNAcentral.
GCGGUAAUUCAAGCUCCAAUAGCGUAUAUGUAAAUUGUUGCGGUUGAAAAGCUCGUAGUUGGACUUCUGGCGACUGCGUUCGGUCCGCCAAGCGCGUGCACUGUCCGCGGUCGUCGUCUCUGUCGACGUGGCGCGUCGGCCUUAGUUGGUCGGUGCGUCGUCUGUCGGCGAUGUUACUUUGAGGAAAUCAGAGUGCUCAAGGCAAGCGUUCGCUCGUGACUUCACUAGCAUGGAAUAACACAGAUGGGCUCUUUCUCGCACUGUUGGUCUGCGUCAAUUGAGCAACGAUCGAUAGAGACGGUCGGGGGCAUUCGUAUUGCGCAGUUAGAGGUGAAAUUCUCCGAUCUGCGCAAGACGUACUAAUGCGAAAGCAGUUGCCAAGGACGUCCUCUUAUGAUCAAGAGCGAAAGUCGGGGGAUCAAAGAUGAUUAGAUACCGUCGUAGUCCCGACCAUAAAUGAUGCCGACUGAGCUUCGGCGACUCGACCUCAGGUCGUACGUCGGCGCUCUUAGAGAAAUUAAAGUCUUUGGGCUCCGGGGGUAGUAUGGUCGCAAGUCUGAAACUUGAAGGAAUUGACGGAAGGGCACCACAAGGCGUGGAUGUUGCGGCUUAAUUUGACUCAACACGGGAAAGCUUACUAGGUUUGGACACCUUUGUGAUGGACAGAUUGAAGCUCUUACCCUACUGCGUGGAUGGUGGUGCAUGGUCGUUCUCAGCCCGUGGGUUGACCUGUCAGGUUUACUCCGGUAACGCGCGAGACCUCGGUCUGCUAAAUAGACGCGGCUGUUUCGGCACCCGCGCUCUUCUUAGAGAGAGACUCGACGAGAGUCGAGGGAAGUCGAGGCAAUAACAGAUCUGUGAUGCCCUUAGUUAUCCUAGGUCGCACGCGCCAUACAAUGUGGCGCACAACGAGUCUCCUUGGCCGACAGGAUCUGGGCAAUCUGGCAGAGCGCUACGUGACUGGGCUAGACUUUUGUAAUUUUUGGUCUUGAACGAGGAAUGCCUAGUAAUCGCAGGUCAGCAUCCUGCGAUGAUUCGGUCCCUGCCCUUUGUACACACCGCCCGUCGCUCCAUCCGUGGCAUGCGCCGGUGAAGAGGGGGAGGCAGCGUCGGCCGGGUAACACCGGAUCGUACGUGGAACCCCUCUGAACCUUCGCACGUAGAGGAAGGAGAAGUCGUAACAAGGUUUUCGUAGGUGAACCUGCGAAAGGAUCAUUAUCGGCAC